Molecule: small RNA, 112 nt
Filed under: Sinorhizobium fredii NGR234
Lineage: Bacteria; Pseudomonadati; Pseudomonadota; Alphaproteobacteria; Hyphomicrobiales; Rhizobiaceae
Description: rpsB sRNA
Rfam family: rpsB sRNA
Source: Rfam by way of RNAcentral
CACACGUGAGGCAUGGGAUUAUCCGGGAGACAUCCGGAUCGUUCCGCCGGUGGGCGCAAUCAAGAAUGCGCUCUACGCCUUGCGGAGGUUCAACCGGAAAAGGAGAAAAAGG